CGGGGUGUAGCGCAGUCCGGUAGCGCACGUGCAUUGGGGGCAUGUGGUCGGCGGUUCAAAUCCGCCCACCCCGA
This is a transfer RNA of Anaerolinea thermophila, 74 nucleotides long. It matches the Rfam family "tRNA". Rfam says of the family: Transfer RNA (tRNA) molecules are approximately 80 nucleotides in length. Their secondary structure includes four short double-helical elements and three loops (D, anti-codon, and T loops). Further hydrogen bonds mediate the characteristic L-shaped molecular structure. tRNAs have two regions of fundamental functional importance: the anti-codon, which is responsible for specific mRNA codon recognition, and the 3' end, to which the tRNAs corresponding amino acid is attached (by aminoacyl-tRNA synthetases). tRNAs cope with the degeneracy of the genetic code in two manners: having more than one tRNA (with a specific anti-codon) for a particular amino acid; and 'wobble' base-pairing, i.e. permitting non-standard base-pairing at the 3rd anti-codon position. NCBI's taxonomy places the organism in Bacteria, Bacillati, Chloroflexota, Anaerolineae, Anaerolineales, Anaerolineaceae. The record is from Rfam.